Molecule: ribosomal RNA, 965 nt
Filed under: uncultured archaeon
Lineage: Archaea
Description: bacterial SSU rRNA
Rfam family: Archaeal small subunit ribosomal RNA
Source: RNAcentral
UUUCCGGUUGAUCCUGCCGGAGGCCACUGCUAUCGGAGUCCGACUAAGCCAUGCGAGUCUUGGUAGGCUUUGCCUACCGGCGGACGGCUCAGUAACACGUGGACAACCUGCCCUCGGGAGGGGGAUAACCCCGGGAAACUGGGAAUAAACCCCCAUAGGUCACGGAUGCUGGAAGGCGCCGUGACCGAAAUUCCGAAAGGAGCCCGAGGAUGGGUCUGCGGCCUAUCAGGUUGUAGUGGGGGUAACGGCCCCACUAGCCUACGACGGGUACGGGCCCUGAGAGGGGGAGCCCGGAGAUGGACUCUGAGACACGAGUCCAGGCCCUACGGGGCGCAGCAGGCGCGAAAACUCCGCAAUGCUCGAAAGAGCGACGGGGGGACUCCGAGUGCCUACGCUUUGCGUAGGCUUUUCCCGAGCCUACAAAGCUCGGGGAAUAAGGGCUGGGUAAGACGGGUGCCAGCCGCCGCGGUAAUACCCGCAGCUCGAGUGGUGGCCACUUUUAUUGGGCCUAAAGCGUCCGUAGCCGGUCUGGUAAAUGCCUGGGUAAAUCGUAGGGCUUAACCCUACGGCUCCCAGGUAGACUGCCAGACUUGGGACCGGAGGAGGGAGAGGGUACUCCAGGGGUAGGGGUGAAAUCAGCAAGGUGAGUUGCUGAGGUAACUUGCCUUGCAAGUCACAAUCCUGUAAUCCCUGGAGGACCACCGGUGGCGAAGGCGCUCUCCUAGGACGGGUCCGACGGUGAGGGACGAAAGCCAGGGGAGCAAACCGGAUUAGAUACCCGGGUAGUCCUGGCCGUAAACGAUGUGGACUUGGUAUUGGGAUGGCUACGAGCUGUCCCAGUGUCGUAGGGAAGCCGUUAAGUCCACCGCCUGGGGAGUACGGUCGCAAGGCUGAAACUUAAAGGAAUUGGCGGGGGAGCACUGCAACGGGAGGAGCGUGCGGUCUAAUUGGAUUCAACGCCGGGA